UACGAAGGGGGCUAGCGUUGUUCGGAUUUACUGGGCGUAAAGCGCGCGUAGGCGGGUUGCUAAGUCAGAGGUGAAAUGCCGAGGCUCAACCUCGGAACUGCCUUUGAUACUGGCAAUCUGGAGUUCGGGAGAGGUGAGUGGAAUUCCGAGUGUAGAGGUGAAAUUCGUAGAUAUUCGGAGGAACACCAGAAGCGAAGGCGGCUCACUGGCCCGAUACUGACGCUGAGGCGCGAAAGCGUGGGGAGCAAACAGG
Molecule: ribosomal RNA, 253 nt
Filed under: uncultured bacterium
Lineage: Bacteria
Description: partial 16S ribosomal RNA
Rfam family: Bacterial small subunit ribosomal RNA
Source: RNAcentral